CCCUUGGUGGUGCAAACGGUUAGCACAUUCAGCUGCUCACUGAAAGAUUAAUGGUUCAAGUCCUCCCAGAGG
RNAcentral lists this transfer RNA (72 nucleotides) under Loxodonta africana (African savanna elephant). It matches the Rfam family "tRNA". Rfam says of the family: Transfer RNA (tRNA) molecules are approximately 80 nucleotides in length. Their secondary structure includes four short double-helical elements and three loops (D, anti-codon, and T loops). Further hydrogen bonds mediate the characteristic L-shaped molecular structure. tRNAs have two regions of fundamental functional importance: the anti-codon, which is responsible for specific mRNA codon recognition, and the 3' end, to which the tRNAs corresponding amino acid is attached (by aminoacyl-tRNA synthetases). tRNAs cope with the degeneracy of the genetic code in two manners: having more than one tRNA (with a specific anti-codon) for a particular amino acid; and 'wobble' base-pairing, i.e. permitting non-standard base-pairing at the 3rd anti-codon position. Lineage: Eukaryota; Metazoa; Chordata; Mammalia; Proboscidea; Elephantidae. The record is from Rfam by way of RNAcentral.